GUAGGUGGCAAGCGUUGUCCGGAAUUAUUGGGCGUAAAGCGCGCGCAGGCGGUUCUUUAAGUCUGAUGUGAAAGCCCACGGCUCAACCGUGGAGGGUCAUUGGAAACUGGAGAACUUGAGUACAGAAGAGGAAAGCGGAAUUCCGCGUGUAGCGGUGAAAUGCGUAGAGAUGUGGAGGAACACCAGUGGCGAAGGCGGCUUUCUGGUCUGUAACUGACGCUGAGGCGCGAAAGCGUGGGGAGCAAACAGGGAUUAGAUACCCUGGUAGUCCACGCCGUAAACGAUGAGUGCUAAGUGUUAGGGGGGUUUCCGCCCCCUUAGUGCUGCAGCUAACGCAUUAAGCACUCCGCCUGGGGAGUACGGCCGCAAGGCUG
Molecule: ribosomal RNA, 374 nt
Filed under: uncultured organism
Description: partial 16S ribosomal RNA
Rfam family: Bacterial small subunit ribosomal RNA
Source: RNAcentral